RNAcentral lists this ribosomal RNA (443 nucleotides) under uncultured soil bacterium. RNAcentral's name for it is "bacterial SSU rRNA". It matches the Rfam family "Bacterial small subunit ribosomal RNA", at positions 26 to 517 of the family's 1533-position model. The record is from RNAcentral.
AGAGCGAACGCUGGCGGCAGGCCUAACACAUGCAAGUCGAGCGCCCCGCAAGGGGAGCGGCAGACGGGAUAGUAACACGUGGGAACGUACCCUUCAGUUCGGAACAACCAAGGGAAACUUUGGCUAAUACCGAAUACGUCCGUAAGGAGAAAGAUUUAUCGCUGAAGGAUCGGCCCGCGUCUGAUUAGCUAGUUGGUGAGGUAAUGGCUCACCAAGGCGACGAUCAGUAGCUGGUCUGAGAGGAUGAUCAGCAUCACUGGGACUGAGACACGGCCCAGACUCCUACGGGAGGCAGCAGUGGGGAAUAUGGACAAUGGGCGCAAGCCUGAUCCAGCAUGCCGCGUGGAUGAUGAAGCCCUAGGUUGUAAAGUCCUUUCGGCGGGGAAGAUAAUGACGGUAACCCGCGAAGAAGAAGCCCCGGACUAACUUCGCGCCAGCAGCCG